CCUGCGGAGGGAUCAUUACAAGUGACCCCGGUCUAACCACCGGGAUGUUCAUAACCCUUUGUUGUCCGACUCUGUUGCCUCCGGGGCGACCCUGCCUUCGGGCGGGGGCUCCGGGUGGACACUUCAAACUCUUGCGUAACUUUGCAGUCUGAGUAAACUUAAUUAAUAAAUUAAAACUUUUAACAACGGAUCUCUUGGUUCUGGCAUCGAUGAAGAACGCAGCGAAAUGCGAUAAGUAAUGUGAAUUGCAGAAUUCAGUGAAUCAUCGAAUCUUUGAACGCACAUUGCGCCCCCUGGUAUUCCGGGGGGCAUGCCUGUUCGAGCGUCAUUUCACCACUCAAGCCUCGCUUGGUAUUGGGCAACGCGGUCCGCCGCGUGCCUCAAAUCGACCGGCUGGGUCUUCUGUCCCCUAAGCGUUGUGGAAACUAUUCGCUAAAGGGUGUUCGGGAGGCUACGCCGUAAAACAACCCCAUUUCUAAGGUUGACCUCGGAUCAGGUAGGGAUACCCGCUGAACUUAAGCAUAUCA
RNAcentral lists this ribosomal RNA (527 nucleotides) under Dothideomycetes sp. 7R65. RNAcentral's name for it is "eukaryotic LSU rRNA". The stretch from base 175 to 328 matches the Rfam family "5.8S ribosomal RNA". Lineage: Eukaryota; Fungi; Ascomycota; Dothideomycetes. The record is from RNAcentral.